CAAUAGCGUAUAUUAAAGUUGUUGCGGUUAAAAAGCUCGUAGUUGGAUUUCUGCCGAGGACGACCGGUCCGCCCUCUGGGUGUGUAUCUGGUUUGGCCUGGGCAUCUUCUUGGAGAACGUAGCUGCACUUGACUGUGUGGUGCGGUGUCCAGGACUUUUACUUUGAGGAAAUUAGAGUGUUCAAAGCAGGCCUACGCUCUGAAUACAUUAGCAUGGAAUAACACGAUAGGACUCUGGCCUAUCUUGUUGGUCUGUAGGACCGGAGUAAUGAUUAAGAGGGACAGUCGGGGGCAUUCGUAUUUCAUUGUCAGAGGUGAAAUUCUUGGAUUUAUGAAAGACGAACUACUGCGAAAGCAUUUGCCAAGGAUGUUUUCAUUAA
Molecule: ribosomal RNA, 379 nt
Filed under: uncultured eukaryote
Lineage: Eukaryota
Description: partial 18S ribosomal RNA
Rfam family: Eukaryotic small subunit ribosomal RNA
Source: RNAcentral